UUUCCGUAGGUGAACCUGCGGAAGGAUCAUUAAAGAAAUGAUUGGGGGAGCCCGCCUGCGCUUAGCUGCGCGGUGGCGCUCCGCCUCUUACACACAGUGGAGUAAUUACUUAUUCUUGGGCUGGGCGAAAGUCCAGCUCGCCAAACACAAACAACUAUUUUCUAUUAUACAGUGUCAUCAAAUCUGCUUACGCAGUAACCAAAAUAUUCAAAACUUUCAACAACGGAUCUCUUGGUUCUC
Molecule: unclassified non-coding RNA, 240 nt
Filed under: root metagenome
Description: partial contains small subunit ribosomal RNA, internal transcribed spacer 1, and 5.8S ribosomal RNA
Source: RNAcentral